UACGGAGGGUGCAAGCAUUGAUCGGAUUUAUUGGGCGUAAAGGGCGCGUAGGCCGUUAAAUAAGUCAGAUGUGAAAUUCCGGGGCUCAACUCCGGAGCUGCAUUUGAAACUAUUUGACUAGAGUACAGUUAGGGAAAACGGAAUUCCACGUGUAGCGGUGAAAUGCGUAGAUAUGUGGAAGAACACCGGUGGUGAAGACGAUUUUCUGGACUGAAACUGACGCUGAGGCGCGAAAGCGUGGGGAGCAAACGGG
This 253-nucleotide ribosomal RNA is filed under the name uncultured bacterium. RNAcentral's name for it is "partial 16S ribosomal RNA". It matches the Rfam family "Bacterial small subunit ribosomal RNA", at positions 524 to 776 of the family's 1533-position model. The record is from RNAcentral.